Molecule: non-coding RNA, 22064 nt
Organism: Oryctolagus cuniculus (rabbit)
Lineage: Eukaryota; Metazoa; Chordata; Mammalia; Lagomorpha; Leporidae
Source: RefSeq, a predicted model, not a curated record
CCAUGAGGACCCAAAGGGACGGGCAGCUGGAAGGCACAGUGUCCGCCUGAGCCUGGACAAGGGCAGCCCAGCCCCUGCCGCAGCCAUGGAGCUGUGGAGCCCAGGCCUCUCCCCCUCCCAGAGUGGGCCUCCAUCUCCAGAGGCUGGUGCCGUGCAGAAGGCGUCCUUGGGAAAUGAGGACAGCACGAAGCACAGAGGCCUACUCUCCAGACACAAAGUAGGAGCGAGUGUCAAACGCUAAACCCACCUUCAUUCAUUCAUUCGUUCAACAAAUACUUAUUGAACAUCUACUGUAGGCUGGACUUGGGCAUCCAACAGCAGGCAGGACAACCCCUGCCCGUGGCACCUACGGAGAGCUAGAACACUCACCUGCGACCGGUUUCUUAUAAAGGCUACACAUGUGCUGCGUUGAGCUCCAAGCCCUGCCCCAGCUUAGGGCUUCCCCAUGAAUAAGGGAGCUGUACUCUGAGAGAUGCGUAAGAAUUAUGAUAGGGUAGCAGGCGUUCUAGGUGGGAGGAGCGGCACGAGCAAUGCUGAGCGUGGAGAAGGCGUGCAGCACCGUCAAGACGGCAGCGGCCAGCCGAGGGGUGGGCGGGCACGAGGUCCUGGCGUAGACACUGAAGGCAGAGGCAAACCUCGCACCCAAGGCCAGGCCACAGCAGAAGCCAGAUGCAGAAGGCUAGAACACGCCACACACGUGCAGUCAGAAGAAAAGAUGUGUUGAUAAGCGGCACCCAGGCCGAGGGGCCCCGGGCCGGGGGCUGCCCCUACAGGCAGGCCACACUCUCUCCCGCUGGGUGUCCGGGACGGAGGAGAAAUGGGAGGCAGCUCAGGCACAGGGGCUUCCCCAACGGAGCCCUCGUACAGUGUUGUUGUAUCCGUCCGUAUGUAUGUGCGUGUUUCCCCCGACCCCAUCUGCAAAGCUCUGUAGGAGGGUGGCUCACCGUCCCCUUUCACGAGUGGCGAGCUACGGCUUAGCGCAGUCACUUGACUGGCCAAAGGUUUGAAAGGGACAAAGAAGGAAGACUAGAUGACACACUUCUCUCCAAGUGUCCCGAGCCCGAAAGUGCCAGCAGCCGCCGUUUGACAAGACAAUGAAAUGGGAAAUGUCUCUCCCCAUAAAUGCACCCUCGCACGCCGGUGAAACAGUUGGAUAAGACACGGACAGGGUUCCAUGCCAGGUCUGCGAGUACAGAUAUUAAAUGCUAGGUCAUUUACUGCAAGCCUCCGGACUAAAAUAAGCCAUUUCCAGACAUUGAAAACCAUAAAAGGAAACGCAAAAGAGUAACUGGAGAAAGGGCGAAAUGCAUGAGACGCUGUCACCUCGAGGACCAGUUGGCCGCGCAGUGCUAAUGAAUACCACACCAUGCAGGGCAGGACUUGCCAAAGGCGGGGCAGGGGUUCACCUGGAAGACGGGGUUGUCAGGGUCAUCCAGCAUGGCCACCCUGGCCACUCCAAGGGCAGAGAGGCAAUGUGGGAGUUGGGGGCUGCAAACUCAAACCCUACAGAUAAGGAUUGGCUGGGCAUGGCGGGGGGGGGGGGGGGGGGGGAGAGGUAGUAUGUGGAAAGACAAUGCCGGAGAGCGGGACCCCUGGCCCCACCCUCAGGUUCCCCCUCUCCUGCUCCCCUGCCGCAUGACAAUAUGCUUCCAGUGCCCACCUGAGCGCUCACCAGAAAGCCUGGCUCAAGCCCCAGCUGUAACAAGCUCUCUGGGGGCUCCCCACGGCCAGGCGAGGGGGCCGCCUCCCUGUCCUCCCACCCUGCACCUCUGACAGCCCCACCUCAGCUAGCCCAAAUCCAGCCAGCGGCGCCUGGCUGCUCCUCCCUGCAGGCCACCAGCUCACCCAGCCCUCAGAUGCCUGGAGCCCGAGGGCGCAGCCCACCCUGAGCCAGGCACUCCCUGCCCGUGCGCUUUGCGGGACUUAGCUGCUGCCUGUUCCCUGGGACAGAUGCUCCUCUCUUCUUUUGUCCUAACUCCAUCCCAGACGUGCAUGGCCCUGCUCUGUCACUUCAAAAUGCACUCGACUCAAGGAAAUGAGGCACACCCCCCUUCUUUAAGGAAAGAUGGGAGUCGGAGUUGAUGGAAGAAACCCCGUGGGGGCUUCCAAGCACCCGGCCAGCCCCACUACGCUCUACAUGGGGGGAGGGGGCUCUGGUCCCAGCAGGGUCUCCCCGAGGGCAGGCCGGGCACGGGCCUCAGCCGCCCCUCCCUCUGCGGCUUCUUGUCCCUGGGCCUCCCCACUCACCUCUUCUCACUCACAAGCUGUGGGGUGAACGUGGGCUGAGCCUGGGGUCCCUGCGGCAGCCCUGUGGGAAGGGGGCUGGGGGAAAGGCGGGGGCUGCUCCCGGGGUGGGGGCUGGCACCGUCCCUCCCCAUCCAGGGCUGCUCAGCACUGCAGUGGGCAGGCCUGGUCACCAGCUUCCCCCCUCGCCCCCGGCAGGUGCAGAACCCCAUCUUUGGGGCCUCGCAUCCCUUCUCUCCAUCCCGAAAACCCUCUCCGUGGCAGAGAGCAAGCUGUCGCCCCUGCAGGGCUUCUGUCUGCGUACCCCCACCCGCACCCCCACCCCGCGCAGCGGAGGCCAAGCUGGAACCACCGCUGGGUAGCUGCAGGUCCCCCUCCUGAGACCUCGUCUCUGCACGGAUCUUUGCCCGCCUCCGCUGCCCCACGUCCGCCCUCCGUGGCGCGUGCACGCCGUGCCCCACGGGGCUGGCCAGGCAGCCGGAGCCGCGCCCAGGGUGGGACGGGGUCCAGGCUGCCGUGGAGAGCCUGCCAUUGAGCUCCCUCUUUCACGCGUGUCGCCGAGGCCACGGCGAGCGUGCGAGCGACGAGCUGGAGUGCGUUCCGAGUCAUUUCUCACAUCUGAAGCUACGCCCUCUAGGGGUCAAGUGGAAACAGACCCUCGGGCACCCCCUGCAAUGAAAUACUAGGCCCUGUGUAGGGACUCCCAGAAGGGGACCCCUCCCCUGAGAGCUCAGGCACCCCUGGGGAGACUCAGAGCGAGUGAGCGGGGAGGGCGGGCGCUGGCUUCCCGUUUGAACUGCACCACCCACCGGUGCAAACCGUGGCUGGGCUCAGUUUAGCCAACCGAGCACUGGUGUUGCAAGGACACAGCAUGGGCUAAAAGUUGGCUCGAGGGAGAGCGUGUGUGUAUGUGUGUGUGUGGACAAAGAACCGGACUUGGCACGUGAAUCCGUGAAGAUUUCGUCUGCCAUGGGGAAUGUCCCGGCAGGAGCUGGGGAGGGGGAGCCGCCUGUGUGUUGCAGGUUUUUCAUCUCCGUUGUGUGUGUCUGAGCCCCGCUGUUUGCCUCAAUGGCAGCGGAAAUUUAAAAGGGACUUUUCUGGCCCAGGAAGAGAAACCCACCUGCCUGUCUCAGCGCCAGCCCCACGGGCACGGUUUGUCCACCUCCCACGGAGGUGCAGCCUGGAGGAAGCGGCUGUCCCCAAGUCACUCCUGCUUCUCUCUGGCUCAUCUGGGUCGUCCACUCUGUUGAGAACCCACUGUGGCUCACUGCAAGGAUGGGCUCCCGGGCAGCUGGGGUGCCGGGUCACGGGUGGGUCAGGAACAGGCGUGUGGAGGUGGAGGUGGUAUGGAGCGACCUGGAAGAAGAAACUCUUAAGGAGAAGUCCCAACCCCACCUCCCAACGUGGACGCACCCCCAGCCUCUCUGUUCUGCUCCAGACCUGUGUUCAAGGCGAAGUACGGAGCAUGGGGGAGGGGCCCAGUGUGCAUUUUCCAAUGAACUUGACUCUGAUGGGCGGCGUCGGUCCUCAGAGGCCUGACCUCCUGCAUCUUGUCAUGAACCACUCAGUAGCACGCGAGCCUUCCUUCCCACGCUGGGCAGGGGAAGCCAGUGCCUUCUGCCCUCGCCCAGGGGCUCUGCCCAGAGGUACUGCAGGCUUGUUUUCGGAUCCAGAGAAACUGAAGGAAGGGGUCCAGGCCGGGCCCUAAUGACACAGGUUACGGAGAGCCCCUACCUCUCGUGGCGCUUGCAUCGCGGGAAGUGGCAGAGCCGGAGUGGGUGGAGAGGGCUGGAGGAGGAAGGGCCCACUCGGCCUGUGUCUCGCCGUGCGCCGUGCGUGGUGCACGGGUCUCAGGGGGCAGAGGCUUCAUUCACAUUCUUUUGGAAGAGAAAAGGCGGGGCAGGGCGGGGGGGCGGGAGAAGCCUCACAGGAAGUGUGCAUGUCUUUCCUCCUGUGGGGACACAGCGUGGCCGUCCGCGGUGGAACCUUGCGUUUCAAAUGCAGGCUCUGCAGCAAGGAGCAGGGCCUUGGACCUGACCACGCGCGCGGCCUUUGCAAAGCGUUUUUCCUUUUGUCAUUUCAUUGACAUUUACUGAGUGUUCCCUGCGGGCCUGGGCCAGGGCGAGCACGCGGCCGAGGCCCGAGGCCCUGCCUCCCAGGACUCCACAGUCUAACAGUGAAGAUUCGGUUGCAGUACCGGGCCGGGGGCGGGGGGCGACCAAGCCAGGAAGCAGCCACGGCCCACCUGUCCCCACUUGUCAGGAGCAGGGGCUUUGAGGCAGUUGCCUCCCAGGAGGGCAGGGCAGGGAGGGAAGGCUGAGGGAUUACCAUUCCUGUAACAAGUCCUCCUUCCCUGUUUGGGGUAAGACACCAAGCUCCAGCCUCCGGGUUUUGACUGAUCAGAGUAUCUUCAGCCGUGCAGUGAGGCAGACGGCAAGGGCUCGCGUGAGCUCCCUCCCCCCAGGGUACAGAACAAAGAGUACACAGUUGGCGCACAAAAGACGGGGGCACAGGUGCCCCUAGAACUGGCCCUGCGGGAGCCGGGACAAGUCUGCUUAUGCACAGGGUGUUUUCCAGCUCUGGAAUCCGGACUUGGGAAGUGAAUUCAUAGGCAACGCAGGGGAAGGGGCGUCCCUCCCCAAAGGCCCUGUUGGGGCUGAAGCCUGGAGAUGCCGACCUGCGCUCGGUGUCCCCGCGGUGCUCGGCACCCGACGGACGUCCAAGGCGUGGGUCGGGGCAGCCUCACAGACCCCGAGGGGGAUGAGUGUCUCGCUGGUCUUGUUUCUUUAUUCUUGCAUUCCAACGCACGUAUCCGACUCCCCCGCCCCACGGGGAUAUGAGCCCCAGAGCGGAACUAGAAGGUGGAGGGGUGCCUGUCUUUGGCCUCUCCACUUCCACUUUGGUAUUUCCCUCUGAUGAGCCCCUCUAAACCUCCGGGAAGCCCCGGGUCCAUUCUGCCCCUCCAAUUGCAGCAGCCGUGGGUGCCCAGUUCUUCCCCGGCGUCCGUGGCUCGGGCUCCCCAGAAAAGCCCAGGCCUGUCAGGAGCGCCCCUGCCUUCCCCUCCCCCUCCACUGGGCCAAGUAUUGUGGAAAGAAAAAUACGAAUGCCGCAGCCCCCGAAGCCGGCUAGGCCUCUCACCUCCUCCCCCACCCCACCCCCACCCACGGGGCAUCCUGUGGCUCACUUCUGCCUACACACAGCCAGCCACCAAGUCACAAGGCUGCCUGUCGCCGAGGCCCUGCGCCCCUUAGGAGAAAUGUGGGGUGCCUGCUUUUCCAAGCAACCCAGAAAGAGGUCAGGUCUCUUCUGGUUUAAGAGGCAGGAUCUGCAAGUGAGCCCACUGCCCUCUCUGCCUGCUUCCCCGCCCCCAGCCCUCUCCCUGCUCAGCAACACAAACUUUGGGGAGCACCUCUCAGGCCCGAAGCCCCGCCCUACUGAAGCCUUGCACCUGUGCCUCCACACCUCUGGAAGGAAGGGCCCGCGGGGCGAAGGUCCUGUUGGAUGCACCACUGCCUCCUCACAGCCAGGUGCCCAUUGGCUGAUGAUGUUGGGUCACCACAGACAGAGUAGCUAUCCUGCCGGGAGAACUGACAGCCGCCAAUUGCGACAGCCCUGCCUCAAGCCCACAGAGGCCGUGGGCUCCAAGACUGGCAACCUCAGUGGAGCGUGCGGGGGGGCUCUGUUUACUGGGACACAAGGAGAAUGCGGUGCCGCGGCCACAAAGAAGGCAGAAAGCCCGGCCAACUGCAACUGGCAAAAGACAGCUUUGUUCUGUGCGGCGAGAAGCCUAUCACAGAAGAGAGAAUGGGCCCGCCGCCCCCCACUCUGGGAUCACAAGCCUUCUGGGGGGUCCUCUCCCCACAGAACCUCUGGUCCCUCCUGCCCACCGGCUGUGACUCCUCACAGCUCCUGACUUGAACACUUGCGGCCUGGAGCCCGGCGUGGCAGGUGCCUCACCCAGCCUCCGAUUCUCUCCAAUGAAACUCUUCCACGGGGCACAGGGAGCUCCUGCAACUGCCCAGCAGGUGCCUUGCUCCUCGGUGCACCCCAAGUGCAGUCAGUCGAGGACGGGGGCCAGGACCACCUGGUGACACAACCAGGAGGACGGUGCAGGCCUCCUGGAUGGAGCCAGGACAGUGCGGGGGGGGGGGGGGGUCAGCACUGAGUGUGUGGCUCCUCCCACCAAGUGUGGCUCCUCCCACCGAGUAUAAGGCUCCACCCACCAAGUGUGUGGCUCCACCCACCGAGUACCUGGCUCCACCCUGCACCCCAGUUUCCUCUUUUGUAAAGCAAAAGUGGCCUGGGACCAAACCCUGAGGCAGGCCGAGCCCAGGAAAAUAGGUUUGUUUGGGCUCAUAGUUCCAAGGCGCCAGGUCCCAGGGCCACGGGGUCCCCAGGCAGCACGUGCAGGGCUUCACGUGGCAGAGACGGGGACGUGGGCUGCCAUCUGUCCACAUCUGUGUGGGUGGCACCUCCCACCUGACGCAGCCACCAGGCGCAAGCACGGGGCUCCACCCUAAGCGCCUGAUACCACCUGCCCAUGUCCCCCGGGCCCUACCCGCACUCACCCCUGGCGGCAGCAGGGACACCCGCCUUGGGGGCGCACCCCAAGUGAGGAUCAUCUGUGGCCGACUCCCGGGUCCAUGGUACGUGCUCAAUAAAUGAGGCGUCGGCAGCACAGGAAGCUGCGGCGGCAGGAGCGCUGCUGGCUCUGGACACCCGUCACCCACCACACCCACGCAUCUUCACCCACACGGCACGUCAGCACCUUCCCAGCUGCCCGCCAGAGGCACUGGGCAAGAGGGUCCCAUCCCACUGGCCACAGCAGCGGCCGGCAGUGGGGGAGGGGAAGGGCGGGUCUUGACCCCCUCCUAGCAGGGGGCCGGGGGCCUCAGUGUCCCCAUAUGUAAAAUGGAGGGCUUGGGCCUCCUGACCUGCUGGGGCGUCUCUUGUCAAAGACGCUGAAUUUGGCUUUUGAAGGGAAAGCAGACUCGUCUUCCGAGGCCGACGCAUGGAGAAAAAGUGGGGGAGCCACAUAGCCACGCCAGCGUCUCCCUUCCAAGGAGCCCUUAGAGUGCCCCAGGCGGUCCUCCCAGGUCUCCCAGCUGCUCUGGAGGCUUAAAAACCAAAACCACAAAGCAGCAACAGCAGCAGGAAGAGCAGCACGCGGCCCUCCCACAGGGCGGGGACAGGGGACACGAGGAGGCGGCUCGCUCCUGCUCUCCACUCCCUCCGUUCUCGGUGAGCCCAGUCCCAGCGCCCUGGCACUGUCUCUCACCCAAUUCCACACCCCUGCCUGCAAGGCUGCACCUCGAGUCCUGCAAAGCCUGGGACCAUGGCUGGGAACUGAGUUCAGAACGCCAGGGGCCCACACCUACGAAACCCCAGGCGUGGCCUGGACGGGCAAGCCACUGUCCUCUGAGUGCCGGCCCGGCCCCAGCUGUGCAGCCCACGGGGCCGGUGCCCGGGGUUCUGGACCCCCUCUCGCUGGACCGUGAGCUCCUUGGGAACACUGGCAGCACCUCGCUCCCUCCGCCUGGCGAGCAGCCAGCCAAGGGACUGCGCAAAGGGGACGGAAAGGUGGCAUGGGGGCGUGAUGAGCGUGAGCUCACUGGCGGCACCCAGCGAGGUGGCAGGCCCUGGAGCGAGGGCGGGAGCUGGGGCCCAGGACAGAGGACGCUGGGGUCAGCAGCGCUGGGUGAGCACAGUGGGCGUGUCUGCAGUGAGCAGGCCCAGCAGGAGGGGAGGGGGGGUGGGGAGGACACUGCGGGGUGGGAGAGAGAAGGGGAGGGGAGGACAGGGCGAAGGGGUGGCGGAGAGUCACUGAGGGAGGUGGGGACGGGCAGAAAAGGGGAGAAGGGGGAGGGGAGGACGCAGCAGUGAGGGGGAGGGGUCCCCCAUGGGAGUGAAGGGAGGAAGGCCUUUCAAGAAGGAAAGGUUGGCCGGCGCCGCGGCUCACUAGGCUAAUCCUCCGCCUGCGGCUCCGGCACACCGGGUUCUAGUCCCGGUCAGGGCGCCGGAUUCUGUCCCGGUUGCCCCUCUUCCAGGCCAGCUCUCUGCUGUGGCCAGGGAGUGCAGUGGAGGAUGGCCCAGGUGCUUGGGCCCUGCACCCCAUGGGAGACCAGAAGCACCUGGCUCCCGGCUUUGAUCAGCGCGGUGUGCUGGCCGCAGCGGCCACUGGAGGGUGAACCAACGGCAAAGGAAGCCCUUUCUCCCUGUUCCCUGUCUCUCUCUCACUGUCCACUCUGCCUCUCAAAAAAAAAAAGGGGGGGGGGCGCAGGGCCCUAACAGAGUGGUUUUGAGAGAGAUGCAGGAGGGGCUGGCAGAGGGAGAGCAGCGUGGGUGGUACUGAGUCCCCAGGACACUCUGACACUCCAAGAGAGCUCUGAGCCCGCGUGGGCUCUGGUUGUCUGUCUAGUGAAGGUGAGACUCCCUGCGCCGUGACCUGGGGUUGACCCGGAGACGAGUGGAGACUUCCCGUGUCCAAACUCCGCAUGGACAGGCACCCUCUGCCUCCUACCGUGCGGCUUCCUCUGCGGAGGGGGGCACUGAACUGCUUCACAGGGGAACAGGCACCAGGGAGACCCCACCCAGGCCCCCCCGGCAAGCGGGCCUCACCCACGCUGAAGCCGCCUUACCCACAUGGCCCAGGUGAGCCGUGGCCUCCUCGGCUUGGAACACCCGGCAAGGAGCCCGUGCUGCCGCCCAGAGCUUGCGUCCCACGGCAGGGAGCAGUGUUCGCGUGGCUCCUGGAACCGCAGAGGGAAGCAGCAGGGUGCCCUUGCCUCUGGAAGCAGGGCGAGCCCGGUGCGUCCGGGACCCUGGACUCCGUGAGCGAGAUCUCGGUGCCUGUUUCUUUGUUUGAGAAGCAGGAAGAAUUUUUCUCGAGUUUUGGAAGAACGCCCACGUUUUCAAAGCCCUUGGGGCAGUGACCAGCACAUACACGGCCGAGCUGGCUCCUUCCACUGGGAAUGCCGUACGGGGGCCGUACACACAAGCCCACGACGUGCAGCCUGCGCCGUCUUCGCUAGGAAUUCAUUCAUUCAUUCAACACAGGUUUUUGGGGUGCCGCGGCAGCGCCAGGCACACCGGGAGGAUCCAGUGUCCCGGCUUUGGUCUCCAGCGCCGUGCAGGUGCUCGCGGUCAGGCGUGGGCGCUCAGUGGGAGCGGCUCGGCUCAGCAAGGGAAGUGGAGCUUCCAGCCCAGGCACCACCCCGUCUCUGCCCCUGGGGGAGUCGCCGGCAGCAUGGGUCUGGCAGCCGUGAGCACGUGAAUUGCUGGGCUUUUCCUUUGUCCGCUCAGCUGUUGUGCAGAAUUUCUCCUGGCCCUCCUUGUCCAGUUGCCCUCAGCUCCCAGCAGGGCUAGGGAGAGGCCGGAAGCUACACGGUUUUCUUCUCCUUGACUGAUUUGUUAUUCCGUGGCACAGCCCCCACUUUGGCAAUUUUUCUGCAAAAGUUGACCCCAGGUUUUGCAUCCAUGGGCCUGGCUGCUCUACUGCGAAGCCAGCAGCUCACCCGCCCCAGCCGCUGCUGACGACGAAGCCGACACUCAGUGCUUGGGGGAUUCUCAGCGUUCUGCAUGGGUGUCCCUGGCAUCCUGCGCCCACGGUACCCUCAUGUCAUGCCAGAACGGCAUUGGGGGCCUCGCGGGAGAGCUGGCAGGCCUGCAGCGGCUCCUGUAGAAACCCCGAGACACCUCUCCCGGGGCCGAGCGGCGGGCGCCGCAGGUGUCUGAGUCCCGCUCCAGAACACCCAGUCAUUGUCUUUGCAGAGUGUUCUAAUGUCGACAGCGCCGGGAAGGCAGUAGCUGGGACUCGUGCUUAGGCCUUUGUCAUUUGUGAUCUUCAUGCGGCUCACAGCGACUCGCUCACGCCAUACCGAGUGCUAUUCUGGGGCUCCUCCCUGGAACCUCCGUGGCCGCCCACAGCCGCCACUCACAACCUUGCUGCCUGAAGCGUGGUCCCUGGGCUCGCAGCACAGUCACAGGCUCCACCCAGGCAGCUGAGCUGGGGCCCGGCCAUCCAUGCGUAUCCCACAAGUUACUACUAUGCUCCCAUUUUAUGGAUAACAGGACCAAGGCACAGCGAAGCUAGGCGACCAACACAAGGGCCCCCAGCCAGGAGGCGGCAGAGCCCAAGGCCCCUCACACCACACGUGCACUGUUGCUAUGACCACUUACACAUCUCCCCAAGGCCACUUCUUGUCCCCAGGACCCAGAGAGCCCCGGCCACCUCCCUCUGCUACUGGCCCCUCGCCGUGCUCAGCACACAUCACAGCCUCUCGUGUUCAGUGCCUCCCCAGGACUCCUAAGAUCGCUUCUACCCAGAGGGGAGCAGACGCAGGACAACGUGGCACCGGGAUGUCCUCACACAGAAGACUCUCCACUAGAAGGCUCCAUGUCCCUGGGAAUCGGAGCCCACAGGUCACUGCUGCCCAGAGCCCUGGCUCGCCUGGCCAUGCUGGCCAGAUGGGGCCGUCUGUGCUCACAGCGUGCAGAUGGCGACACGCUGGCCACAUUUGUGCGUGGUGUGAGAGCAUGGCUCUGCUCUGUCACCCCUGUCAGAAGAGGGCACCUUGGGUUUGCGUGGGUAGACACUGCUCCUGUGAGUCAGUGAACUCCUGGGGUAUCCGGGUCCCAUGAGAAAUGGGGAGAAGGGAGCAUCCGGCUAAGGACAGCUCUGCGUAGGAGAACUGGCCACCCUCCAGAUUGCACUUGCCCACCAGAGGCCGUAGUGGACACAGCCCAGGCUGUUUAAUGAAGAGUCUUCAUCCCAACAGCCACCAGCUGGACACCCGAGCCUCAGCGUGGAAGUGGACGUGUGGUUUUGCUGCCAGAGCCACUUGGGCCUUGGAGGCGCCUCCACACCUGCUCCUUCCUAAUCUCAGUGCUCACUGCACUAAAGUCUUAGCACGCGGGGGCUGAUGCCUGGGCCACGUGGCAUGGCCUGCCCAGCCCCUUGGGACCAAGGAGGAGUUCUUCCCGCUGCUUCUAACUUUGGGCCGCCAGGUACUGCAGGUGUACGUAGCUCCUGCUGUGAGUUUCAAGGUCUUGUGUUAAGUCCAACUACCCUCUACAAUCGGCUUUGGGGAAAUCCAGGAUGGAAAACUGAGUCCUGGGCCGUAUCUGCCUGUGCAGCAGCAUUUGUGUGUGCACACUCACCUGUGUACACGUGUGUGUGUGCAUGCAGGCAUGCGUGUAGAUGCAUGAGUGCACGUGUGCUUUAAAUCUCUGAUGCUAACGCUUCCUCCAAAAUGGUCACACAAGAAAAGUCACAAAAUAAAUAAAAUAGCCCAGAGACUGUCAGAAGAGGGCCCUGAGAGAUGCCCCCACUGGCUGUCACCAGAGGAAGUCCCUCCUUGGCGGGAACCCUCAGUAUUUUGAUUGGCAGUGAAGUAGUAACUACCCCUUGGUUUUUAAGCCUUUGUCACAUUUGCAUGUGGCCUUGCUAUGGGAAGAGGGAGGAGUCCUGUCCGAUCGCUCAGCUCCUACCAUGUCGAGAUGCAGAAACCCCCUGCUCAGCCAUGACACCCAGGGCCCCAGCGCUGUCAGCCCCAGUCCUGGAGCUCACAGGCUCGCAACAGGUGCAGCAGUGAGCCACUCCCAGGAGCCACUCCUCCACGACCCCACAGAACCCCCGGAGACUUGCCUGUCUGUCAUCAUGCUAAACCCGACCCCUCUCUCAGCCUCACAGAAGGCUCCUCCACCCGGACCCUGUGGUGUUCUCUGCUGUGGGUGACCCUGUGCCUGGCUGGGAGACUGCCUGCCUAGCCCAUACAGGAAGUUAAGAGGGCACGGCACACCAUGCCCCCCGGGAAAAAACCCUGGUUGAGGGCUUAGCACACUGAGACCCCCCCACACAUAUGACCUGACUGCUGUCAGGAGGCAGGAGCCCCAGGCACAUUUCCCCCACCCCCACUUCCUGUUGAGGGGCCUUGCGAUUGUCAACUAGGUGAGCAGCUCCUGGGUGUGGCCCAGACCCUUAAGACCAUCUGAAAGUCUACGUGGGCUACGUGACCUCAAGCUGACUGGAGAAGCAUAGUGGCGCCAGUAUCGGCUUCAUCCUAUAGAAUUAGUGUUGCUACCCUGAGCUAGCUACUCCCCUUCACCUGCCCUAUAAAAGCUUGUGCCUGACUGCUAGUAAAGGGACACGUUCACAGAAACGGUCUCCAGUGCUUCUUGUCAAAGAACGCCGUCACCCCACCAUCCCCACAGUGUGGGCCUCGCAGGACGAGCCCACACUCUGCUGACUCCCAUUGCUAGAAAAGACUCCUGGAACUCAGUGGGACCCCACGCUCCCACCACCUGGUCCCAGGAGCUGAACAACGCCCCCCCCAAGCCUCCCCAAGUGCUGGGUAUCCCCUGCUGGAUUCCCGAGAGGAGGACGGCUGCCCAGCGCUAGCCUGUGACUCUGCAAACCCCUGGGCGUGCUUACGGAUAGCGACCCCUCGUGCCUGUUCAAACAAGACGGAUGCUCGUCCCCCAUCAUCAGGAAAGAAAUGACCGCUCCCACAGAGAGGGCGCUGGUGCAGCCCGCCCAGAACCUGUGGAGCAGGAAGACAGGAAGGCCAGGGGAGCCAGCACUGUGGCACACACCCGUGACCUGAGCCCCAGGAGGGGCGGAUGCUGGAGGCGCCCUGGGAAGUGCCUCAGGAGAGGGUCUGGGUGAAGGAGGGCAUGGCGUUUGAAGGGGCUCUCAGGCGGAAAGCACACUUCCUUUUAGGAUUUGCUCUCUCUUUUUCCCUAAAAGAAGACAACGUAGCCUCCCCCAGCAGCACAGAAAGGCCCCCGUUAGAAGUAACGCACGGAUUCUGGUGUGGAUUCCCACCUGUGAACUCAUCCGCACAGAAGAAGGCACGGGUGAGACAGGGACAUGGAACAGCCUGGGCAAGAAGACCGGGCCUCCCAGCGACCACCGGGACUUUGAGCAGGUGAGCUGUUCUCUCUUCUGCACAGUGCAGGUGAGCGCACUUUACUUACCCAGCUGUUCUGAGAAUGAGGGGGUCAGCGCUGUCCAGCACUUAGCUGUGUGGGGGGUGAGUCCUGAACGGGCACCGUGGGAGCCACAGCAGCACCAGGGCAGCAGUGACCAGCAAGGCAGAGACACGGCCCGUGAAGUGUCGGCACAGGUCUGCCCAUUCGGGCAGCAGUGACCAGCAAGGCAGAAACACGGCCCGUGAAGUGUCGGCACAGGUCUGCCCAUUCUCACGGCACCGUUGAUUCUCCAAGAGUUCUUUGUAUAUUCUAGACACAAGCCCUUUGUGACAUACACAUAUAACACACAAAUAGACAUUAUAUUGAAAUAUCUCUCAGUAUACAUUUGAAAUAAACACACCAUAAGGCGCUGGAUAUCGUUAGAGGUUAGGGAAAGGCGAGGUGGGGCCACCGUGAGCUGACACUCGCGCGUCACAGGUGAAAGCACACCAGCACUGGGGAAGGUGUGGGGACACGGCAAGCCUUGUGCCUGCGGUGGGGGCGGGGUGCAGAUGAAGGAAUCAUUUUGGAAGACAGUUUGGCUGUUAAACAUUCACCCACGGUAUGCCUUGGGUAUUUACCCAAGAGAUAUGAGAGCCUAUGUUUAUGCAAAGAGCUGCCCGAGGGUGUCCUAGCUGCCCCCCUGCUCCCUGGAGCAACUAAGUGGCCCAAGUGCCCAGGCCCAGCGGAAGGGACAGAGGCUGCGGCAUACUGACCCCUUGGGACAGACAGGAGGACGAAGGCGAACCUCACGGCCUCCAUGCCGGCAAAAGAUGCCAGACACCAAAGAGGACGCCUGUGCGCUUUCUUUACGUAGAGUUCAAAGACAGGCAAGGCUGCUCUGGAGAGAGGCCACGGCGGAGCGGCUGCCUCUGGGAGGAAAGAUUGGCUGGAAGGGGGCUGGGGAGCAGCGGGUCUCACCCGGGAGAUGUGUGCCCCCCAGAGGCGGCAGUGCUGGGCACGUUCUGAUGGCUGUGCCAGCCACAUCCAGCGGGCAGGAGCCAGGGAUGCUGGUAAGAAGCCCCAGGCACAGGACAGCGACUGGGGACUGGGGACCCCGCCCUGGGGAGGCGGAGGUGGUCUGUGGCUUGAUCGGUUCCAUGAGUGUCACACACCUGUGACAGGGCGUGCACGCUGUGUCAUGAUUCCCCCCAUCGAAUAAGACACCCACCAAAAUAACCAAGGAGAAGAAUCAGCCAGGGAUGCUGCCUUGGGCACAGCUGCCCUCUGCCUCCUGUGAGCUUGUUUUCGCUUAGUACAAUGACCCCAGCUCGCUUUUGGUUACUCUUCGCACAAAAUGGCUUUCCCAUCCAGCCUCUCGCUCUCAACCCGUUUGUGCCUUUGGAUCGAGAGACUGGUGGAGCGCACACAGGAGGUCUUCCAGAAGUCCGUGCAGAAUGUGUACAUUGAGAAAGCUAGGCCGGCGCCGCGGCUCACUAGGCUGAUCCUCCGCCUUGCAGCGCCGGCACACCGGGUUCUAGUCCCGGUCGGGGCGCCGGAUUCUGUCCCGGUUGCCCCUCUUCCAGGUCAGCUCUCUGCUGUGGCCUGGGAGUGCAGUGGAGGAUGGCCCAGGUGCUUGGGCCCUGCACCCCAUGGGAGACCAGGAGAAGCACCUGGCUCCUGCCAUCGGCGGCCAUUGGAGGGUGAACCAACGGCAAAGGAAGACCUUUCUCUCUGUCUCUCUCUCUCACUGUCCACUCUGCCUGUCAAAAAAAAAGAAGGAAAAAAAAGAGAGAAAGCUACAUGCGGAUUGCAAAAUUUCUGCACCAAAAUAGACAUUAUCUUUCCAUUCAAUUUUUCCAGGAACUCUUUGAGGUCCCCUCAGUGAGCCUUUUUCCUCCGUUCUCUCAUUUUCUACGUUUUAAUGGGAACUUCAUUUGUAUGUAAGGCGACUGUGAUCAGGACUGACUUGCUCCUGACACUUGGCUAUCUGUUUCCUGCCUGUCAGUUCAUCCCCGCCUUCUCUUCUGUUGAUUUUGACCCUCAGCCUCUCCUUGAGUCUUCUCAUUUCUUUUUCUGCAUAUUUUUACCCGUUCUUCUGUUACUGGCUUUCCCGAGGACCCCACCACCAGAAAUUUAGAAGGGUCUGGCUUGAACUGAUGGCCUCUUGGCUUCCAUGAUGACCACCAGCCCUGCCCACCACGACUCCCCGUCCUUUCACUCUGUGAAGGGCGUGCCUUGCAGCUGCCUGAGCGUCCACUCCCUGGAAGCCAUCGGGCAGGUGACUCCAACGGAGCCAUCUCCAAGCCGGCUGCCUUUUUCUUCCACCCUCUCAACUGUGUCUGAACCCCCGGCAAAGUUUCCCUCUGGCUAUGGCCCAUCAAAGUCUCAGCGUGUCCGUGAGCUCCCUGAUGGCCGUCUCUGUUUGUUUCUUGAGAAGCUCUUUUUCGUGGUGGAUGAUCCUCCUGCGGGGUUUCUGUAGCUUGCUGAGCGCAUUUAAAAGCCGGUGCCUUAAAUAUAAGGUCUUUGUCUUGUUAGCCAAUGUCUUGGGCUUCCCCUGGAACGAUUUCGGUUCAUUGGUUUUUUUUUUUUUUUUCUUUUUAUUUUAUUUAGUUCUGCUGUGAAGUGGCCCACCUUCCUUGCUUGUCGGCAAGUCUCAUAGUUUCUGGUUGAAAACUGGAUUUUGCACAGGAUACUUCAGGACCUCUGCCCCCUCCCCAGAGAUGACUCCUGUGGCUUGUGGAGGGUGGUCGCAUUGUCACGCUGUUCUUUGUCCUCCUCCACUGCUGGCUUUGUGGUCAGCCGGCGGCUUUGACAGAGAUGCCCUGGAACACCUGAAGCCAGAAAGGAAAGCAAAGCCCCACGCUCCCAGUCUGCGCAGGCGGCUGGGAGUCGCUGCUCCCUCAGCCCUCACUUUGUGCUCUGCAGAGCCUGACGGUCAGCCGGACACGCAAGGCUGAGGUCUUCUCGGGUCUCUUCCGAGCCCACGUCUAGCGGCAGGCGUGCACUGGGUCCCGUGGCGCACCCAGGAGCUUUCUCAAGCCUUGAGGUGCCAAGCGUCCCCUCCUGCAAACUCUGGUUGCCUGCUGCUGGCUCAGUGGCUGUCCCCAGCCCCAGCCGGCUGCAGGCUGCAGGCUGCGUGCCCCUCCCAUGCUUUGGACACCGACAUCCAGGAGGCCACCUCAGCCCUGACAGUGUUGCGAGGGUGAAGCAGGAGCCGACUCUGAGCUGAGAGCUCGGGGCGCCUCCAGACCACUGGCUCUUGGAGAACAAGACCCCUGGUGCCCCCUCUGCCUCGAGCAAGCCACAGAGAGUGCGGCGUAGGCUGGGGUGGGCGCCAAAGCCGCAAUGAAGCCGGGCAUGGGGGAUUAACACCCGGAUAAGCAAAGACACCGCCGGUCUCACCAAAGUUUGGUGCCUUCUUUCCUUUGCACUUCUCGGAUCAUUUUGAGUUUUCUUUACCAGGGUCUAGAUUUCUGGAAGCGCGGAUCCUGGCAGCUUUGGGGGCUGCUUCAUCUCGCUUCACUGGAGGGAGACGGGUCCUCAGAGCUCCACCUCCACCAUGCUCCCAAAUGUUACUUUUUAGAUUUUUUUAAUCUUUCAUAUUUUUCCAAUGGAAUCCCCAAAAAGUCUCCGUUUUAAACAUAUUGAAGUCUCAUGUGCUGCCUUGAAUAGGAUCCGCUUUCCUUAAAACUUGGAGAGAAGUUUGCAAGAGAUGUUUGCAACCAAUAGGACACAAAGUUUAACUUCCAUCCACUAAAUCAACCACAUUGGCUCUUUUAAUCAAAAAUUCUGUUUUCUUGUUAGUCAAAGAUGAAUCGUACAUUCAGUUCUCUUGUUGUCUUCUCCUCAUAUUUCCAAGUUAAUGCUCUAUAACUUAUGCUGUUAUUCAUCAAAGGAAAUUGGUUCUAAAUCCCCAUUGUACCUUUGCAUUUUAGCUGUUUGUUUCAUUUAAUGCUUUUCGCCUAAAAUUCGAUUCUGUCAAAUAUUUAGCCUGCCUUCUGUGCUUUUUUCCUUUGUAGUUUUCCCACUCGUUUUUGGCGUUUGUUUCACUUUUAACUUGAAAACGUGAUUCGGGGGCUGGCAUUGUGGUGUAGCGGGUAAAGCCGCCGCCUGCAACACGCAUCCCAUAUCUGCAGUGGUUUCAGACCCGGCUGCUCCACUUCCUGUGCAGCUAGUGUGCCUCGGAAAGCAGCAAAAGACGGCCCAGGCGCUCGGGCCCCCGCACCCAUGUGGGAGACCUGGAAGAAGCUCCUGGCUCCUGACUUCAGCCUGGCCCAGCCCUGGCCGUUGCGGCCAUUUGGAGAGUGAGCCGCUGGACAGAAGAUUCUCUCUCUCUCUCUCUCUCUCUCUCUCUCCCUCCCUCCCUGUAAUUCUGACUUAGACGUCUCUAAUGCAGCAUUCAGCCUGUUUGACAUCAUCUCAUGGCCACUCCGUUGGGACGAAACAUGGCUGCUCUUCUGUCACGUCAGCCCACGCUUUUGGUCCUCCUGUUCCCUGGCUCUUUUCCACUUUAUUUCAUUCCAGGCUGAAUGGUCCAUUUCUGUGUAUCCUCGGGUUUACAGUUAUGCCUGUUUUCUAAUCUACAAGUGAUUUGUUUAAUUUUAAAAAACACAUUUGAACUUUUUCCUCUAACUGCUAGAGUCAAAAGUUGAAUGGCCUCGGUAGGGUCACCGGGACCUUGGUCCGCCUCCUCUCCUCCGCCUCACUUUCAUAGAACUCCAGCUUUAGUUUUAGAAACCUGUGAUUUGGGGAGCCUAUAACUCAGUAUGUCUUAACACUGUUUGUCUACUGUUUGGCUAGACGCUGGAACUGGUGUCCAGUCGUGUGGACAACUGCUCACGCCUGCAUUUCUCGCCAGUUUCUCUGCUCUAGGAAACCAUGACUUCUUCCUCCUUGCCAGCGUUCUGCUUCUCGGGCAGAAGGCGCACAAGUGCUCCAGGAAGAGUUCACAGGACUCAGUGGAGGACCCCUCCCCAGAGUGCUCAGGUGGCGGCACGGGGAGGUGCGGCCAUGGAAGCAGCGCGCGGAGGAGCGACUGAAGGGACAGAGACGGCCCCGUCUCCGCCCUGGGAGGAGAGACGGCCCCGUCUCCGUCUUUCCCCAGGUCGCAGACUCUCUAUCAAAGCAGGGCCAGUGUCCCCAUUAUGUGCAGCCCUGGCUCGGUGCCCAGGGCCCAAGACCCACUCAGGACUCAUAAAAAUAUCUUCCGUAACAUCUGAGAGGGAAAAAAUGCCUCUCAUCCAGCUUGGAGUCCGCUUAUCUUCACAAAUAUAAGUUCAAAAUCCUUUGGUGGAGGGAGAGCCCACAAAGGAGUGCCUGCAGCCCAGGAAAGCCGUCAGGGGACCCACACACGGGCGCCCUCUGUCCCCCGGAGUCGCCAUCUCCCCCCUCAGAACUCGGCCUGGCAGUAGCGCCGGUGAGGAGAUUGGUGGAUUUGGUUUGCUGAUAUUCAGUGUGCCCCUGGGAUCUGGAGUAUCCCGCAUUCCUUACACUCACAGUUUACCUGGGCGAAAGCAGUUGGAGAUUACCUCCUCGUCAUUACUUCUGUCCAGAGUGUCUCAGGCUCACGCGAGCUGACAUCUGUUCGUCUGACGGCUCCUUCCCGCUCUGUCACUUUCUCCCUCUGGCAAGUUUUGGUUUGUGUGCAUUGCAUCGUCCAGGCAGGGGCCUGCAUCCCUGCGCCAUUCCUUGUCCUUGGAGAAGCACUCCCAGGGGAGCGUCUCAGGCUGCUGUCUUUAAUUGGUGUGGUUUCCGGGGUCGCCAGUGUGCCGCCUACUGUGUCGUGGACGUGGUGAGCUGGACCGAGCUUCCACUCCCUUCAGGAUGUCCUGAGCUUGCUGCCACCCCGGCAGCGGCCAGGAAUCCUGCCGUGAAUGCCCUCUGGUGCCCCUCUGACCCCGGCAGGCUGUGGUCCAAAAGCUCAUGUCCCCCCCGAAAUUCACGUGCUGUGACCUGGGAGCCGGACUUCCGGUCCUGAGCAGGCUGGGCUGGGAUACAGACGAUGGCCGGGUGUAGACGCCGUGGACAGCAGAUUUCCUGGCUGCUUCCUGUGUCCCUGCAGUCACUGCAUGUUUGUGAGUGGUCGCCAUCUCUCCGGCACAGGGACAGCCUGGUGUCGGUGCGGCAGCCACUCCCUCACCCACUUCACCACUCCCUCCGUGGGGAGUCUAACGCCUGCGUCCAUGGAGUCGUGACCGAGACCAUGGUUGUUCAAGGUAACACUUUGUGGCCAAGGCAAGCGUCAGCGCCAACUUUGAAAACGGAAGCCGGAAAGCCUUGCUUUUCAAAUCUCUCACAUUCUGGACAAAUCUCAGGCACGAGACCGGGGGCCUAGCAGGCAAAGUCGUCACCAUGAUCCUACGAAGAACCCUGGGCACGAAUUUCAAAAACCUUCUUGUGCCAUUUCUCCAUUUUUCCAUGAAUUUUCUGAAGAACCCUACAGGGUUGCGCUGUGAUGUCUCACACCCAGCCACCCAAGCCGGCGGACUCAGCACCAGGAAUCACAAACCCUCGGCCCAGGAAGAGCACCCGGCAGAGAGCCUUGCACGUUUCCGGAACCUUCAGCACCGAGCAGCAGCUACCAGGGGUGCGUGCUCACGGUCGCCCUCUGCCCCCCAGCCUGAGCCCCGUCUCUACGCUGGAGAAAUGGGAGGUCUCCAGAGCUGCGCACUUGCUGGCCGGGGGUCCCACUGUGCUCACCUGGGUCCCGCUAGCCCUGCCAGAAAGCAUCGUGUCCUCCCGUGAGCCAUGUCUGCUAUUCCGUGUUCCUUGGGUGCACCCCUGGGUGGAACAGGGCUCCCAGGCUACGCUUGCACACUGCGUCACGCGGCACUGGCCUCUUGCACGCAUUGGGAACACUUACCCGCCACCAGCCAGCACCAACCGUCCAAUCUCCCAUAGACUGAAAUGUGAGGGCCAUGUGGGAACCGGUUUUCCUGGACAUUGGGGACACAGCGCUGAGCCGCAAUGGCGUCCAUCAGAUUGCAAACCGCUCAGUCAUCGACAGCAGCCGGAGUAGGGAAGACUGAAAAGCUCAGGAAAAGCCAAAGGUUCUUUUUGGUCCUUGCUUUUCCUAAAAGCCGAAUGCCAGGUACUUCUUGGUGCGCCCAACAGAUGCAAGUGCGGGGCCCAGCCAGUCGCGGCAGACUUAAUCCUGGGUAGGGGACUGUCCAGGGUGACCAGGAACCCAGGGGCGGAAUGGCGGCCAGUCUGUGCUCCCGCAGCUCCGGCAUGAAUCCCAGAUCACCCACAGAGAAAUGAGCAGAGCUUCGGAGGAGCAUGGUCCUCAUCGCAAAGCCCCCACAGCGCCUGGGAGCCCAAUGUCAGCUGAAGGAUGUAUGGACUGAGUCCCAGGAGAGCAAGGGCUCUGCGCCAGGCAGCCCCGACUUGGCCAGCAGCGAGCGCACUUUGGGGAACUGACUGCUCACCCCUGAAGUGUGCCGCUUAUCACCCAGCCCCACGCUUGGUGUGGAAAUUCAGGGAGCACGCUCUUGAAAACACUAAACAUUGGGCUUGACACAGAGAAGUCACUCAGGAAAGCGUGCUGUCCCACAGAGGGCAGAAUCACACUAUGAUAUGGCUGCUGCUUCCUUGUCAAGGGACCAAGACAUUGUAUAGAUACCAAAUCCUGCACUGUCCGGUGUUAGCCAUAGAAACCCAGCGUCCACCGAGACAGCGCCCAGUGGGCCGUCCACCCACAGCAGGCGUGAUCUAGCAGGUGCUGGCCAACCUGCUAGGCCUCCUCACCCACGGCCACCCCCGCUGCCUGACCCAGGGUGGGGCACUCAGGACUCAAACAGAGCUGACCUGCCGGGGAGCUGGUGUGGGCGAUGGGACAAGGCAGCCGGCGCCUUGAUAAGCACACAGUGGCUCAGAGACUCCCGGAUGAGAGUCCUGGGCUCCCCAAGUCUGGGCUGUGACGGUGCCUAGAGGGGGAGACGCUGUAGACUGAGGAAGGUUGGUCACUUCUCUGUCCUCAGCGGGAUUAUCAGGGAAGGGCGGAGCUGGGCAAACAGCCCAGGGCCAGGCACGUGUGGGCUCUUUGGGGCAGGGGCACAAGGGCAGCAGCCCGGCUGAGUCCUGUUCCCACGGCGGAACCCCAGCCUCCCUGCCAGUAAGGACAGGCUCGUUCAGUCCCAAGGAUCUGUCUCCCAUCGGCCGGGGGCUGAAGGUGGUUUCCGUGCAUUUCCCAGGCAGGGGGCACAGCGUCGUUGUCUUCCUUCUCAUGAGCCUCUGACCUGGGGAGCCGAGUGCGGCUCGCUGCCCGCACUGCCGGCGGAGCCUCCAGACAGUGCCCCCGAAGCUGAAACGUUUGUGGCUCUCAGCUAUUUGGUUCCUGGCUCAGCCUGUCUGUCUGUGCCAACCGCUGGGAUUCAGCACGCGUCCAAGGCAAACCUCAGGCAACGUGGGGGGCGCUGGGUGCCGGAGGGUGGUCACCCACGUCGUCGCUCGCCCCGAGUGCUCAGAGCCGGCAGCCCUGUCCCACCUCUGGAAAUUAAUGGUGCCAGCUCAGCAUAUUGGCAGAGAAAGGAAAUUUACACAGCAAACACACGUGCUGAAAAACUGGAGAUAUUUGCUUAGUGGGAGCUCAUUGAUUGCAGUGACUCCAAGAUCAGAUGACACGGCCGGCCAGGCGACCUCAGCACAGCAGGCAGCGGCCUCGUAUCGGCAGGACACUGAUGGAGAGCCCUCUCCCGGGUCCAGAUGAGCCAUACGAGGGGUGUUCAUCUCAGAAGUGGCCCAUAAUUUUUCUCCAAACCCAAGACUCUGCAUUAAUUCCAGCACAAACAAUAAUAAGGAAAUAAAAUCAGUGAUGUAUGUCUUUCCAAUAUCCGUCCUCGCUAAGAACGCCCCACUCCUCUGGUCAAUUAGAGCUCAUCUGAAAUAAAAAGCUGAGCCCGCUCCAA